Molecule: ribosomal RNA, 460 nt
Filed under: uncultured bacterium
Lineage: Bacteria
Description: partial 16S ribosomal RNA
Rfam family: Bacterial small subunit ribosomal RNA
Source: RNAcentral
ACUACGGGAGGCAGCAGUGAGGAAUAUUGGUCAAUGGGCGCGAGCCUGAACCAGCCAAGUAGCGUGAAGGAUGACUGCCCUACGGGUUGUAAACUUCUUUUAUAUGGGAAUAAAACGUUCCACGUGUGGGAUGUUGUAUGUACCAUAUGAAUAAGGAUCGGCUAACUCCGUGCCAGCAGCCGCGGUAAUACGGAGGAUCCGAGCGUUAUCCGGAUUUAUUGGGUUUAAAGGGAGCGUAGGUGGAUUGUUAAGUCAGUUGUGAAAGUUUGCGGCUCAACCGUAAAAUUGCAGUUGAAACUGGCAGUCUUGAGUACAGUAGAGGUGGGCGGAAUUCGUGGUGUAGCGGUGAAAUGCUUAGAUAUCACGAAGAACUCCGAUUGCGAAGGCAGUUCACUGGACUGCAACUGACACUGAGGCUCGAAAGUGUGGGUAUCAAACAGGAUUAGAUACCCUAGUAGUC